Molecule: non-coding RNA, 404 nt
Organism: Oryctolagus cuniculus (rabbit)
Lineage: Eukaryota; Metazoa; Chordata; Mammalia; Lagomorpha; Leporidae
Source: RefSeq, a predicted model, not a curated record
GCUACAAAUUCACAGUUCAAAUCAAACUUGGAGCCCUGAACUCUUCUCAGAACCCAGCUCCUACAGUCCUAUGGAGUGUACUCUUGCCUGUGACUCUGGGAGAAGACUCUAAGCGAAGUCAUUCUUCGAGCCUAAGGGGUUGGCAUUGUGGCGUUGUAGGUUAAGCACCUGCCUGUGGUUCCAGCAUCCCACAUGGGCACUGGUUUGUAGCCCGGCUGCUCCUCUUCUGAUCCAGCUCUCUCUGCUCAUGCCCUUGGGAAGGGAUAAUCAGAAUGGAUCUUAAAGAAUAAAUACAACUGCCUCCAGUGCUGGCAUUCCAUAUGGGCGCUGGUUCGAGUCCCGGUUGCGCCACUUCUGAUCCAGCUCUCUGCUAUGGCCUGGGAAAGCAGUAGAAGGUGGUCCAA